AGGAACGUUUGCUCAGCUGCUGAGAAUAUAUAUUCAAUUAAAGGCGUGCACAGAGGGUGCAAUUACACAGCCGCAGAGCAGCCUUGGCCAGCGGCUCUUUAAUUCACUCGUGUGUCCGGCCGGCAUAUUGCUCGGACGGCGAAGCCAUUCCGCGGAUUCCCGCCACUUUUUCCGUUAUAGGGUUUGCUGUGCAUUCCGUUGCGUCUUAUCUGGCUGCUGGUGUGGCCCCAUUAGACAGUGCGGUGUGUGUAUUUCCUUUAAGCAGAGCCAGACACAAAGUACUGUUGUGGUUUAAUUUAUAACUCGGCUGCUUCACAGACGUAAUGAAAGCGGCAGCGAGAACGGGGCACAAAAGAUGGGAGCUCCGAAACGUGCAUAAACACAAUAUUAUGUUGAGACGAGGCAAAUGAGAAGCCAACAAUUAUAAAUAGAGCUGAAAAUCUAGCAUAUGGAGUCAAACCUUGAAACCUCGCACAGGUUUGAUUUCCAAAAAUUCAAAAGGCUGAAAUGAGGUUAACGAAAUAAAAUUUGGUGAAUCGCUCAUUCUCUCCGCCUCCGCCAUCCAUCACCACUAUAAAGAGAAAACAUCAAAGAUCGCUUUCCACUCUUUCCAGUUUGUGUUAUGUUUAUCAAAUUACAGAGGAUCACUUUCAGAGCCACUUGAAAAGUGCACGGAAGCUGCAGCGCUGAGAGUUGACAAGCGGAUGUCAGCACCAACAAAACGACCCUUUUUCACGGCAAACAGUCUUUCGACCGAGAAAAAAGCUCUCUGAGAAACACUCUUUCCCGAGCCUUGGAAUUUUUUGAACAGCAUUUGUGACGCACGGCUUCGUCCAGAAUGGUCCCUAAAAAGCCGCUGGAAUUCGGACAUACGUGCGGGUAAACUCGCAAUGUAACGAGUCAAGGUGAACUUCAAACGCGCUUUAAAAGCAGCGUCACGCGGAUAAAACUGGUGAAAUGCAACAACACGCUUGAAAAAAAGAAGUAAAAAGCGCUUAAACCAAAAACAUUCAUGAGCUCGACCGCCAAAAAGGUCAGCAAACGUGGGAUUUUUUUUAAACUCUACUAUAGUGAAAUAAGUUAAAAUAAGUUUAUAAGAUUUGAAAAUGAAAUUAAAUUUGGUUCAAAUUUCAGAGUAGGUAAAAAUGUGUAU
Molecule: long non-coding RNA, 1153 nt
Organism: Neocloeon triangulifer
Lineage: Eukaryota; Metazoa; Arthropoda; Insecta; Ephemeroptera; Baetidae
Exons: 3
Source: RefSeq, a predicted model, not a curated record